This 253-nucleotide ribosomal RNA is filed under the name uncultured bacterium. Its description in RNAcentral is "partial 16S ribosomal RNA". It matches the Rfam family "Bacterial small subunit ribosomal RNA", at positions 524 to 776 of the family's 1533-position model. The record is from RNAcentral.
UACGAACUGUGCAAACGUUAUUCGGAAUCACUGGGCUUAAAGGGUGCGUAGGCGGCUUGCUAAGUAGGGUGUGAAAGCCCCCGGCUCAACCGGGGAAUGGCGCCCUAAACUGGCGAGCUGGAGUGAGAUAGGGGUGUGCGGAACUUCCAGUGGAGCGGUGAAAUGUGUUGAUAUUGGAAGGAACGCCUGUGGCGAAAGCGGCACACUGGGUCUCAACUGACGCUGAGGCACGAAAGCCAGGGGAGCAAACGGG